CUUCUGCUGUGAUGAAUCAUGAAUACAAUUCACAUGUCAGACUUCAGAGACUAGUCUAUGAGAAGAAACUUUCAUGUUUACUGAGCAGAAC
Molecule: small nucleolar RNA, 91 nt
Filed under: Ipomoea nil (Japanese morning glory)
Lineage: Eukaryota; Viridiplantae; Streptophyta; Magnoliopsida; Solanales; Convolvulaceae
Description: Small nucleolar RNA R64/Z200 family
Rfam family: Small nucleolar RNA R64/Z200 family
About the family: This family of plant small nucleolar RNAs belong to the C/D class of snoRNA which contain the C (UGAUGA) and D (CUGA) box motifs. This family includes Arabidopsis thaliana snoRNA R64 and Oryza sativa snoRNAs Z200 and J16.
Source: Rfam by way of RNAcentral